Molecule: ribosomal RNA, 468 nt
Filed under: uncultured bacterium
Lineage: Bacteria
Description: partial 16S ribosomal RNA
Rfam family: Bacterial small subunit ribosomal RNA
Source: RNAcentral
GAUGAACGCUGGCGGCGUGCUUAACACAUGCAAGGCGAACGGUGAAGGCGGAGCUUGCUCUGCUGGAUCAGUGGCGAAAGGGUGAGUAACACGUGAGCAAUCUGCCCCUGACUCUGGGAAAAGCGCUGGAAACGGCGUCUAAUACUGGAUACGAGCUGCGAAGGCAUCUUCAGCAGCUGGAAAGAAUUUCGGUCAGGGAUGAGCUCGCGGCCUAUCAGCUUGUUGGUGAGGUACUGGCUCACCAAGGCGUCGACGGGUAGCCGGCCUGAGAGGGUGACCGGCCACACUGGGACUGAGACACGGCCCAGACUCCUACGGGAGGCAGCAGUGGGGAAUAUUGCACAAUGGGCGAAAGCCUGAUGCAGCAACGCCGCGUGAGGGACGACGGCCUUCGGGUUGUAAACCUCUUUUAGCGGGGAAGAAGCGAAAGUGACGGUACCUGCAGAAAAAGCGCCGGCUAACUACGUG